RNAcentral lists this ribosomal RNA (404 nucleotides) under Actinomycetes bacterium. RNAcentral's name for it is "Actinobacteria bacterium partial 16S ribosomal RNA". It matches the Rfam family "Bacterial small subunit ribosomal RNA", at positions 355 to 776 of the family's 1533-position model. The record is from RNAcentral. Lineage: Bacteria; Bacillati; Actinomycetota; Actinomycetes.
UGGGGAAUAUUGGACAAUGGGCGCAAGCCUGAUCCAGCCAUGCCGCGUGAGUGAUGAAGGCCCUAGGGUUGUAAAGCUCUUUCACCGGUGAAGAUAAUGACGGUAACCGGAGAAGAAGCUCCGGCUAACUUCGUGCCAGCAGCCGCGGUAAUACGAAGGGGGCUAGCGUUGUUCGGAUUUACUGGGCGUAAAGCGCACGUAGGCGGACUAUUAAGUCAGGGGUGAAAUCCCGGGGCUCAACCCCGGAACUGCCUUUGAUACUGGUAGUCUUGAGUUCGAGAGAGGUGAGUGGAAUUCCGAGUGUAGAAGUGAAAUUCGUAGAUAUUCGGAGGAACACCAGUGGCGAAGGCGGCUCACUGGCUCGAUACUGACGCUGAGGUGCGAAAGCGUGGGGAGCAAACAGG